UUAUGGCUCAGGACGAACGCUGGCGGCGUGCCUAACACAUGCAAGUCGAACGGAGUUAUGUCACGAAGUCUUCGGAGCGGACGACAUAGCUUAGUGGCGGACGGGUGAGUAACGCGUGAGCAACCUGCCUUUCAGAGGGGGACAACGGUUGGAAACGACCGCUAAUACCGCAUGAAAUGACUGGACCGCAUGAUCCGGUCAUCAAAGAUUUUAUCGCUGAAAGAUGGGCUCGCGUCUGAUUAGAUAGUUGGUGGGUAACGGCCCACCAAGUCGACGAUCAGUAGCCGGACUGAGAGGUUGAACGGCCACAUUGGGACUGAGAUACGGCCCAGACUCCUACGGGAGGCAGCAGUGGGGAAUAUUGGGCAAUGGGGGGCAACCCUGACCCAGCAACGCCGCGUGAAGGAAGAAGGCUUUCGGGUUGUAAACUUCUUUUACCGAGGACGAAGAACGUGACGGUACUCGGAGAAAAAGCCACGGCUAACUACGUGCCAGCCGCUGC
RNAcentral lists this ribosomal RNA (502 nucleotides) under uncultured bacterium. Its description in RNAcentral is "bacterial SSU rRNA". It matches the Rfam family "Bacterial small subunit ribosomal RNA", at positions 17 to 518 of the family's 1533-position model. The record is from RNAcentral.